Pseudonaja textilis is the source of this 247-nucleotide non-coding RNA. The record is from RefSeq and is a predicted model, not a curated record. Lineage: Eukaryota; Metazoa; Chordata; Lepidosauria; Squamata; Elapidae.
UUAUAUGUGCACAUUUUGGUUUUUCUUGCCUAAGUGCAGGACUUUACUUUUCUCUACAUUGAAUUUCAUUUUGUUAGAUAUGGCCCAGUGUUCUAGUCUGUCAAGAUCCAUCUAGAUCUUGAGCCGAUCUUCUUGGGUGUGAACUAUUCCUGCCAGCUUAGUAUCAUCUGCAAAUUUGGUAAGUUCCCCUUCUAUUCCCUCAUCUAAGUCGUUAAUGAAGAUAUUGAAGACAAUAAAAAGGGAGAAA